UACGAAGGGGGCUAGCGUUGCUCGGAAUCACUGGGCUUAAAGCGCGUGUAGGCGGAUUGUUAAGUCAGGGGUGAAAUCCUGGAGCUCAACUCCAGAACUGCCUUUGAUACUGGCGAUCUCGAGUCCGGGAGAGGUGAGUGGAACUGCGAGUGUAGAGGUGAAAUUCGUAGAUAUUCGCAAGAACACCAGUGGCGAAGGCGGCUCACUGGCCCGGUACUGACGCUGAGGUGCGAAAGCGUGGGGAGCAAACAGG
This 253-nucleotide ribosomal RNA is filed under the name uncultured bacterium. RNAcentral describes it as "partial 16S ribosomal RNA". It matches the Rfam family "Bacterial small subunit ribosomal RNA", at positions 524 to 776 of the family's 1533-position model. The record is from RNAcentral.